GCCCGGCUAGCUCAGUCGGCAGAGCACGAGACUCUUAAUCUUGGGGUCGUGGGUUCGAACCCCACUUUGGGUG
Non-coding RNA from Nephila pilipes (giant wood spider), 73 nucleotides. NCBI's taxonomy places the organism in Eukaryota, Metazoa, Arthropoda, Arachnida, Araneae, Nephilidae. The record is from the annotation of a GenBank genome assembly.